This 461-nucleotide ribosomal RNA is filed under the name Prevotella sp. oral taxon 292. Its description in RNAcentral is "bacterial SSU rRNA". It matches the Rfam family "Bacterial small subunit ribosomal RNA", at positions 28 to 476 of the family's 1533-position model. The record is from RNAcentral. Lineage: Bacteria; Pseudomonadati; Bacteroidota; Bacteroidia; Bacteroidales; Prevotellaceae.
GAUGAACGCUAGCUACAGGCUUAACACAUGCAAGUCGAGGGGAAACGGGAGAAUAGCUUGCUAUUCUUUGUCGUCGACCGGCGCACGGGUGAGUAACGCGUAUCCAACCUUCCCAUAACUAAGGAAUACCCCGUAGAAAUGCGGCCUAAUCCCUUAUGGUCUCUUAUACCUGACAUCGGAAUAAGAGUAAAGAUUUAUCGGUUAUGGAUGGGGAUGCGUCUGAUUAGCUUGCUGGCGGGGUAACGGCCCACCAGGGCAUCGAUCAGUAGGGGUUCUGAGAGGAAGGUCCCCCACAUUGGAACUGAGACACGGUCCAAACUCCUACGGGAGGCAGCAGUGAGGAAUAUUGGUCAAUGGGCGCAAGCCUGAACCAGCCAAGUAGCGUGCAGGAUGACGGCCCUAUGGGUUGUAAACUGCUUUUUAAGGGGAAUAAAGAGGGGCACGCGUGCCCUGUUGCAUGU